RNAcentral lists this ribosomal RNA (2931 nucleotides) under Escherichia coli. RNAcentral describes it as "bacterial LSU rRNA". It matches the Rfam family "Bacterial large subunit ribosomal RNA". Lineage: Bacteria; Pseudomonadati; Pseudomonadota; Gammaproteobacteria; Enterobacterales; Enterobacteriaceae. The record is from RNAcentral. RNAcentral also lists the same sequence under 1 other name.
GGGUUGUGAGGUUAAGCGACUAAGCGUACACGGUGGAUGCCCUGGCAGUCAGAGGCGAUGAAGGACGUGCUAAUCUGCGAUAAGCGUCGGUAAGGUGAUAUGAACCGUUAUAACCGGCGAUUUCCGAAUGGGGAAACCCAGUGUGUUUCGACACACUAUCAUUAACUGAAUCCAUAGGUUAAUGAGGCGAACCGGGGGAACUGAAACAUCUAAGUACCCCGAGGAAAAGAAAUCAACCGAGAUUCCCCCAGUAGCGGCGAGCGAACGGGGAGCAGCCCAGAGCCUGAAUCAGUGUGUGUGUUAGUGGAAGCGUCUGGAAAGGCGCGCGAUACAGGGUGACAGCCCCGUACACAAAAAUGCACAUAUUGUGAGCUCGAUGAGUAGGGCGGGACACGUGGUAUCCUGUCUGAAUAUGGGGGGACCAUCCUCCAAGGCUAAAUACUCCUGACUGACCGAUAGUGAACCAGUACCGUGAGGGAAAGGCGAAAAGAACCCCGGCGAGGGGAGUGAAAAAGAACCUGAAACCGUGUACGUACAAGCAGUGGGAGCACGCUUAGGCGUGUGACUGCGUACCUUUUGUAUAAUGGGUCAGCGACUUAUAUUCUGUAGCAAGGUUAACCGAAUAGGGGAGCCGAAGGGAAACCGAGUCUUAACUGGGCGUUAAGUUGCAGGGUAUAGACCCGAAACCCGGUGAUCUAGCCAUGGGCAGGUUGAAGGUUGGGUAACACUAACUGGAGGACCGAACCGACUAAUGUUGAAAAAUUAGCGGAUGACUUGUGGCUGGGGGUGAAAGGCCAAUCAAACCGGGAGAUAGCUGGUUCUCCCCGAAAGCUAUUUAGGUAGCGCCUCGUGAAUUCAUCUCCGGGGGUAGAGCACUGUUUCGGCAAGGGGGUCAUCCCGACUUACCAACCCGAUGCAAACUGCGAAUACCGGAGAAUGUUAUCACGGGAGACACACGGCGGGUGCUAACGUCCGUCGUGAAGAGGGAAACAACCCAGACCGCCAGCUAAGGUCCCAAAGUCAUGGUUAAGUGGGAAACGAUGUGGGAAGGCCCAGACAGCCAGGAUGUUGGCUUAGAAGCAGCCAUCAUUUAAAGAAAGCGUAAUAGCUCACUGGUCGAGUCGGCCUGCGCGGAAGAUGUAACGGGGCUAAACCAUGCACCGAAGCUGCGGCAGCGACGCUGAUGCGUUGUUGGGUAGGGGAGCGUUCUGUAAGCCUGUGAAGGUGUGCUGUGAGGCAUGCUGGAGGUAUCAGAAGUGCGAAUGCUGACAUAAGUAACGAUAAAGCGGGUGAAAAGCCCGCUCGCCGGAAGACCAAGGGUUCCUGUCCAACGUUAAUCGGGGCAGGGUGAGUCGACCCCUAAGGCGAGGCCGAAAGGCGUAGUCGAUGGGAAACAGGUUAAUAUUCCUGUACUUGGUGUUACUGCGAAGGGGGGACGGAGAAGGCUAUGUUGGCCGGGCGACGGUUGUCCCGGUUUAAGCGUGUAGGCUGGUUUUCCAGGCAAAUCCGGAAAAUCAAGGCUGAGGCGUGAUGACGAGGCACUACGGUGCUGAAGCAACAAAUGCCCUGCUUCCAGGAAAAGCCUCUAAGCAUCAGGUAACAUCAAAUCGUACCCCAAACCGACACAGGUGGUCAGGUAGAGAAUACCAAGGCGCUUGAGAGAACUCGGGUGAAGGAACUAGGCAAAAUGGUGCCGUAACUUCGGGAGAAGGCACGCUGAUAUGUAGGUGAAGUCCCUCGCGGAUGGAGCUGAAAUCAGUCGAAGAUACCAGCUGGCUGCAACUGUUUAUUAAAAACACAGCACUGUGCAAACACGAAAGUGGACGUAUACGGUGUGACGCCUGCCCGGUGCCGGAAGGUUAAUUGAUGGGGUCAGCGCAAGCGAAGCUCUUGAUCGAAGCCCCGGUAAACGGCGGCCGUAACUAUAACGGUCCUAAGGUAGCGAAAUUCCUUGUCGGGUAAGUUCCGACCUGCACGAAUGGCGUAAUGAUGGCCAGGCUGUCUCCACCCGAGACUCAGUGAAAUUGAACUCGCUGUGAAGAUGCAGUGUACCCGCGGCAAGACGGAAAGACCCCGUGAACCUUUACUAUAGCUUGACACUGAACAUUGAGCCUUGAUGUGUAGGAUAGGUGGGAGGCUUUGAAGUGUGGACGCCAGUCUGCAUGGAGCCGACCUUGAAAUACCACCCUUUAAUGUUUGAUGUUCUAACGUGGACCCGUGAUCCGGGUUGCGGACAGUGUCUGGUGGGUAGUUUGACUGGGGCGGUCUCCUCCUAAAGAGUAACGGAGGAGCACGAAGGUUGGCUAAUCCUGGUCGGACAUCAGGAGGUUAGUGCAAUGGCAUAAGCCAGCUUGACUGCGAGCGUGACGGCGCGAGCAGGUGCGAAAGCAGGUCAUAGUGAUCCGGUGGUUCUGAAUGGAAGGGCCAUCGCUCAACGGAUAAAAGGUACUCCGGGGAUAACAGGCUGAUACCGCCCAAGAGUUCAUAUCGACGGCGGUGUUUGGCACCUCGAUGUCGGCUCAUCACAUCCUGGGGCUGAAGUAGGUCCCAAGGGUAUGGCUGUUCGCCAUUUAAAGUGGUACGCGAGCUGGGUUUAGAACGUCGUGAGACAGUUCGGUCCCUAUCUGCCGUGGGCGCUGGAGAACUGAGGGGGGCUGCUCCUAGUACGAGAGGACCGGAGUGGACGCAUCACUGGUGUUCGGGUUGUCAUGCCAAUGGCACUGCCCGGUAGCUAAAUGCGGAAGAGAUAAGUGCUGAAAGCAUCUAAGCACGAAACUUGCCCCGAGAUGAGUUCUCCCUGACUCCUUGAGAGUCCUGAAGGAACGUUGAAGACGACGACGUUGAUAGGCCGGGUGUGUAAGCGCAGCGAUGCGUUGAGCUAACCGGUACUAAUGAACCGUGAGGCUUAACCUUACAACGCCGAAGGUGUUU